AUGCCAAUAAUGUUGAGUGCCAGAAAAAGAAAAGUUUGGAGGGUAGAAGGGGAGGAGCAGCCGCCCCCUGCCCUCCACUCACUCCCACUCUCCCUCCCUCACUCGUCAGUCACCAUUACCUACUGGCCGGCCGGCCCGGUGACCGUCGCCCCCCUCCGCCGCCCCGAAACCAGCGGUUCGUGCAGGGAGAAGAAUCGCGGGAACCGUGGAACCGCUGAGGGGCUGCGGCUUGAUCUGCUCCAGAAUUUUCGGCCUUCGAUCUCCCCGGCAGGUUUGGUUUCAGGUAAUGGUUCUUGGAUUCUCUGA
Molecule: ribosomal RNA, 306 nt
Filed under: Triticum aestivum (bread wheat)
Lineage: Eukaryota; Viridiplantae; Streptophyta; Magnoliopsida; Poales; Poaceae
Description: partial small subunit ribosomal RNA
Source: RNAcentral